Molecule: long non-coding RNA, 209 nt
Filed under: Elaeis guineensis (African oil palm)
Lineage: Eukaryota; Viridiplantae; Streptophyta; Magnoliopsida; Arecales; Arecaceae
Description: long non-coding RNA (EGUI_LNC018727)
Source: RNAcentral
UCUGGUCGUGCUUUAUUUCUCACCAUCAACUUCAAGUUUCUCAUAUACCUUUCUGGGAUACAUCCAUCUAUAUUGUACAGAUCCAGAUACUUUCACCUCUUCAGCAAGAUGUAUCACUAAAUGUACCAUCACAUCAAAAAAUAAAGGAGAAAAUACCAUUUCGAGCUUACAAAGUGUUAAGACAAUUUCAUUCUGAAGACGAUCAAGAU